AUACAUAUAUGUAUAUAUAGAUGAGGUCUCUCAAUAUGCUAGUCCGCUAUGAACAGAGUAUAUAACAUGGAUAUAUAACAUGAUAUAUUAUAUUUUACAUGGGAUUAUCACGACAUCUAUGAAAAUUUAAGAGAGCAACUUAUCAAUCUAAAAUGUCAAAAAUAUCUAUAUUAGAAGGUACAAAUAUGUACUUUAUCAAAACUCUACCACUUUCCACAUCCUAAUUAGAUGCUCUUGAAAGAAAAUUAUAUUUCUAUCACUCCUUUUUGUUUUUUUGAAAGAUACUCAUUUAAGAAGUGAAGAAAAUAAUGUUAAUUAAAAUCAAUUAAAUUUAGGAAGAAUAAACUAAAAGAUUCGGCUAUGAAGAGAAGAAAUUUAUAAUGAGAUGAAAAUAAGAGAGUAACUUAAGAGAGAAAAAAAUCAAAGAAUAACCCUCUACAAUCAUACCCUCCAAAAAAUCACACAUUAGUAUACUAGGCCUUGUAAUUUGUUAAAGGAUUUAUCUGAAAUAUUCACAAUAUAACUUGGAAGGCGUUUCAAAUAUCAUGUAUAAGUCACUGUUCAUGCGAGUUUUGAUGUUUUAUGAACUAGGAUUGCCUCAGUUUUCACACCCCUCCAUCUAAAGAUUCUUUGUUUAGGUCCUGAGUAGUGUGUUUUCAAAAAGUUGAACCUAGGUAACUAUAAAAUAGGUAGGUCGCCCUUAUUUUCUCUCUAGAAAAAAAAAGGAGAAAAGAAUGAUGAGAUUUGGUAAAACAUCAUUUGUCAAACUAGUUGGUCAAUCUAUGAUCGCUCAUACUAUGGGCUGCUUCAACAACUCUCGACAUCUGUGUCGGAUGAACUCAAUGCUAUGGAGAGUAGGUUUUUAUGGGGUUCGUUGGUUCAGAUGGCAAAAAUUAUGUAAAGCCAAAAAAAAAAAACAGGAGGAUGAAACUUUCCAGAUCCAAAAGUCCUUAAUUAUGCUUUUCUAGCUAAGCAUGGUUGGCAUCUACCGCAAAUUAAUGCUUUCCUGAGCAUUCAAGUCGAAGUAUUUGAUUUAAGUUCUCUUCUUGAGGCUUAGCUAGGUGCUUAUCUUUUGUACGCUUGAAAAGGCAUAUGGGAAGUCAAAUUAAUUUUAAAAGUAUCUUGUAACAACCGAGGGUCUCAUCCAAAAUAACUAGCCGGAAGGUAUUUUUUUAAGCUCCUUAGUCCUGUAUAAGUAUCUAAGAUCUUCUCAGCAAAUAACUGAUGCGGGACUAAACAUACGCCAGCACGGAUCCUCACAUACUCUCCCUAUUCAAACUCUGACGUUCUUGUCAGACUAAGGGUUCUAAUCUAUUCAAAUCUAAUCACAAGCACCACGUCCCCUAGUCUAUAUAGGUAAUGGGCCGAGUUUGCUCUAAUACCAUUUGUAACAAUACAGGACUUCAUCUAAAAUGGCUAGCCGGAAGGUAUAUUUUUGGGCUCCUUAGUCCUGUAUAAGUACCCAAGAUCUUCUUGGCGAAUAACCGAUGUGGGACUAACACACACCUGCACGGAUCCUCAAAUGCCUAUUCUAUAGAAAUAGGCAAUGGGGAAUCAACAAGGAUUUAGGGUGAGGGACGGUUAUUAAUUAAGUCCAACCACUUCUAAUGCAACCUAUUCUCCCAGUGUAUUACCAAGAGACGCCCAAAGUAAGUGCUCUGAUUGACAUGAUACAAAUGUGUAGAAGCAGCAGUUUAAUCAGCUGCAUUGCUCAAACUAGCCGUUUUUCUACUGUUUGCAAUGCAUAUUAUAUGGCUCUUUUUUUUGUACUUAAACUAAAAUGUCUAAGAUAUUUUCUAGUUAGGUAGCAAGUAACACAAUUUGGUUCAAUUGCAGAGUAAGAUUUAGAGCACUAAAUCUCGGACAAAAUAAAACUAUUUAUAUGAAAGGUAGCAAAUGACAUCCUACUUGUCUUUUUGAAGAUAAAUGACAUCCUUCUUGUCAAGAACAACCUUCUAAGAGAAUAAAUAACUAGAGAUCUGAUUUAUAUGACAGGGAAAAUAAACUACAGUGCAUGCAUCAAAGGAUUGUGAUCUUGUACGGAAGAUUUGGUUCCUCUCCUAAAGCUGCAUUUGGAAGUCAAACAAGUGGGUGUAAGUCAUUUAACCUACUUAUUCCACCCUUUUUCAGUUCAAUACUCCUUUGAUUACCUGGAUUAAAUCACUUUUCAAAAAUAGCAAAAUGGGUAUUUCUAGUAAGUUGGAAUACAAGCUUUUGCCUUCCAAAUGCAUCAUUACUACAUAUAAAAUGGAGUAACUUAUUAUCUAGUAAAGAAGAGUAGGGGUAACUUAACUCAUUUAUUUGAGGCUAAAGUAUUUUGCUUCCAAACACAGCCUCAAAGAAUUAGGACUCUUUGAAUUAAGGCUCCACCAUUUGUGAGUUGGAAUGAGGAAAUGGUUAAGCCUAGCAUUAUUAUUAUUUGUUUUUUGAUAAGUUUAUAGACACCAAGUAAAUGCAUUACACAAUGCAAGGAAUUUUGUCUGAGUUUAAAGAGGACCAAGAGCAACUCCCUUAGAUUUUCUCCUUAUACUCUAAUAGGAAGUGAUGUGUGGUAGAAGGUAGGUGUACAUGGAUAGAUUUUCUAUCAUUAUGAGAUUAGAAUUGUUGUUAUAGAUAGGCAUGGUGAUUUAUGGUUGAAGCAUCAAUCUAAAAUUUCAGUGAGAACAUUGUCAAGCAGAAGCUUUAAAUGCUUUGUCAUGGAUUGAGUUUUUUCCCAAGAAAGCUUCUUCUUUGGAUGAACUCAAAAAGAUUUAUUGGUUGGUUAACAUAUGUAGCAUAAUACACACACACACACACGCAUGCGUGCACACGCACACAAAGAGAGAGGGUUAGUGAGUGAGUGAGAGAGAGAGAGAGAGAGGGAACUAUGUUCAUAAAGAUAAUAACAAACUGUAUCAUAGCAAAGUAAUCAUAUAUGCAUAAAUCAUGCAAGUUCGUAAAGUUGAACAUGCAAUUUAAAAUAUUCAUUAUCAUCAAAUGUUUGCCAUUUAUCCAUACUUUUAUUCAAAACAAUGCUCACAGAUUUUUUGCGCUACGGCCACUACCCAUGACAGGGCCAUCUUCGUAAUCGACAAGAUAUUAUAGUUUAUAUCCAUUACCAACUAUAACCCUUUGGUAGAUGGUCAUUUUCGUUGGAUGCUAGCUCCAUAGUGUUGAUUGGUCUCCAUUUCUAGAGGCGGUCAUAGCUAUUUGAGAGCUCGUAAACUAUUUCAUAUUUUUAUAAAUCAUACCUUUAUAAAUAGGAUGAAAAUGCUAAAUGGCAUCACAAAAGUUUAAAAUACAUAAUUAUAUAUAUCAUUUUCAUGCAUUUUUUUAUAAUCAUAUUUUAUACAUAAAUCAUUUACAAUAAAGUAUUCAAUAAGCAUGAUAUUUAGCCUAAAAUAUAGAACAUUUGCAAUUAUAUGCUUGAUCCUAAAUUUUUAAGAAAUUAUAGGAUCAAUCAUAUCAAAUAUAAUUCAUAAUUUUAUACCUAAAUUUGAUCGAUAAUUUAAAAUUAAUAAGGUUUGUACCAAGGUCACUUACCUCUGUUCUUUUAAAAAUCAUUAAGUUUAGAUGGGUAAAUUCGCUGCACCUAAAAAUCGUUUAAAAAGAAUAAAUUACUUGCUAUUCACUAUUUAAAGUUUAAAUAUAAAUUAAAAAUCUCUAAGCAACUCAAAAUAGACUCGAGCAGGCUUCAAGUUCCGACUAGGUAAAUAAGACUAGUAUAUACAAAUCAGGUAGAGAGAUGGUUGGUUGCACCAAGGGUGAAACCUUUCUCUCAUUUUUUAUAUAUUUAUUUAUUUAUUUAAUUUUUUUCUCUAUUCUUUUUUUUUGUUUUCUCUUCUUUCUUUUUUUCUUCUUUUUUUUUCUCUUUUUUUUUCUUUCCUUCUUUUUUUUUCCUUUCUUCGUCAUCGCCCUUUCCUUCUUUUCUUUAGCAGAGAGAGGGGCAAGUCUGAAGCCACCCCACCAAAAAACAAGAAAGGGGAGGAAGGGACCUCCGGCUCGACGACGAGGGUGGCUGAGGACCGGCAGCAUGGUGGAACGACCACCAUGUAUGGGGUCUUCCUCUUUUCUUUUUUUUUCCUUAUCCUAGUGACUUUGCCGAAUUCCAGCCAUAUUUUGCUGGAUUCCAGCCAUUGCCGGGUUGAUCGGGAGGAGGGAGAGACAGUGGAGGAGAUGGAGACCUUACUUUGCUCCAAGGAGGCGUUGCGACCGUGAUUCCGGUGGCACGAAGACAGGGCACGGUGAGCCGAAGAAAGACAAGAAAGAGGAGACUAUUUCAACAAGGCUAAGCAAAGGAAAGAAGAGGAAGGAAGAAAGGGAGGGAUAGGAGAAGGGAGAAAGAUGGAGGAGGAAGAAGGGCUUGGCGGCCUUGGCAAACAGGGAAGGUAAGAAAGAGAGGGAGGAGACCGCAGAUUUCGUGAUCUCCUCGCGCUAUCCUUCCAAAAAUUGGAGGUUCGCUAGCGAGGAGAAUCCGCUGAAAAGGAAAGAAGAGGGGUGGGGUUCC
RNAcentral lists this long non-coding RNA (4486 nucleotides) under Phoenix dactylifera (date palm). RNAcentral's name for it is "long non-coding RNA (PDAC_LNC006127)". Lineage: Eukaryota; Viridiplantae; Streptophyta; Magnoliopsida; Arecales; Arecaceae. The record is from RNAcentral.